UGGACCUUUGAUUCACCAGCACCGACAUCAAGAAAUGCAACCAUCAACUGUGGAACUGAGAUCAUGUCUCUUGAGUGGGAUUGCAGGUCCAAUAAUUUGCUAUUCAUGGGCACUUCUGAUGGAUGCAUAAAAGCAUGGAAUGCAGAUGCUAAGCGGUUUGUUUGUGAUCUAAAGUCUUCAAAAGCAUAUCCGAGUAUUUUGGACCUGAAAUGCAGUCCCGUGGAGCCUAUUUUGGUUUCUGCAGCAGCAUCUGGGAGGUACUUUUGAACUUGCCAUGUAUCAUUCACUUUAGCCC
Molecule: non-coding RNA, 295 nt
Organism: Salvia hispanica
Lineage: Eukaryota; Viridiplantae; Streptophyta; Magnoliopsida; Lamiales; Lamiaceae
Source: RefSeq, a predicted model, not a curated record